CAGCCGCCACGGGAAUACGUAGGUGGCAAGCGUUGUCCGGAAUGAUUGGGCGUAAAGGGCGCGCAGGCGGCUGUGUAAGUCUGUCUAGAAAGUGCGGGGCUAAACCCCGUGAGAGGAUGGAAACUGGACAGCUGAGAGUGUCGGGGAGGAAAGCGGAAUUCCUAGUGUAGCGGUGAAAUGCGUAGAUAUUAGGAGGAACACCGGUGGCGAAAGCGGCUUUCUGGACGACAACUGACGCUGAGGCGCGAAAGCCAGGGGAGCAAACGGGAUUAGAUACCCGCGUAGUCCCUGUCUCUUAUAC
This 301-nucleotide ribosomal RNA is filed under the name uncultured bacterium. Its description in RNAcentral is "partial 16S ribosomal RNA". It matches the Rfam family "Bacterial small subunit ribosomal RNA", at positions 509 to 807 of the family's 1533-position model. The record is from RNAcentral.